Molecule: ribosomal RNA, 253 nt
Filed under: uncultured bacterium
Lineage: Bacteria
Description: partial 16S ribosomal RNA
Rfam family: Bacterial small subunit ribosomal RNA
Source: RNAcentral
UACAGAGGGUGCGAACGUUGCUCGGAAUUAUUGGGCGUAAAGCGCGUGUAGGCGGCUUGUUAAGUUAGUCGUGAAAGCCCACGGCUCAACCGUGGAAGUGCAACUAAUACUGGCAAGCUUGAGGGCUGUAGAGGCAGACGGAAUUCCGGGUGUAGCGGUGGAAUGCGUAGAGAUCCGGAGGAAGACCGGUGGCGAAGGCGGUCUGCUGGGCAGUUUCUGACACUGAGGCGCGACAGCGUGGGGAGCAAACAGG